GCCGAUGUAGCUCAGUUGGUAGAGCGCGGGUAUCGUAAACCUGAGGUCGAAGGUUCGAAACCUUUCGUCGGCAUCA
This 76-nucleotide transfer RNA is filed under the name Fructobacillus ficulneus. RNAcentral describes it as "tRNA-Thr". It matches the Rfam family "tRNA". Rfam says of the family: Transfer RNA (tRNA) molecules are approximately 80 nucleotides in length. Their secondary structure includes four short double-helical elements and three loops (D, anti-codon, and T loops). Lineage: Bacteria; Bacillati; Bacillota; Bacilli; Lactobacillales; Lactobacillaceae. The record is from RNAcentral.